Molecule: ribosomal RNA, 253 nt
Filed under: uncultured bacterium
Lineage: Bacteria
Description: partial 16S ribosomal RNA
Rfam family: Bacterial small subunit ribosomal RNA
Source: RNAcentral
UACGUAGGGGGUAAGCGUUAUCCGGAUUUACUGGGUGUAAAGGGAGCGUAGACGGCCAGACAAGUCUGAAGUGAAAAUCCAGCGCUUAACGUUGGAAGUGCUUUGGAAACUGCCGGGCUAGAGUGCAGGAGGGGCAGGCGGAAUUCCUAGUGUAGCGGUGAAAUGCGUAGAUAUUAGGAGGAACACCAGUGGCGAAGGCGGCCUGCUGGACUGCAACUGACGUUGAGGCUCGAAAGCGUGGGGAGCAAACAGG